RNAcentral lists this long non-coding RNA (2269 nucleotides) under Homo sapiens (human). Its description in RNAcentral is "non-protein coding lnc-MTERF4-3:8". The record is from RNAcentral. Lineage: Eukaryota; Metazoa; Chordata; Mammalia; Primates; Hominidae.
UGGUGAUAAUUCCGUGACAGUUGGAAGAUGGGGUUCAUUCUUCCGGUUCAGGAAUCACUAUGUAUUUCCUUCUUGUGAUAAAAAUAAAAUUACGAGAAGGCAAUGUGAGGUUUUAGUACAUCAUAGCACUUUAUUUUAUGAAAACAUGUAGCAGAUUUUCCACAAAAAUGCUUAUUUUUAAUCCAAAAGUAUAUUGCUUCAUAAUGGUAUUCAGUGCACAGCAGAGUAAAAGAAGUUAAUUCAUGAUGUACUGGUUAAUUUUGCAUGGCUUCUUAAGGCCAGCAAAAUGCUGGCAGUUUUCUUUAUCUUUGUGAAGAACAGGCCCUUCCUGUUUGGGGAAGUUGGCUUUUAUGUCAGCUCUUGGCCAGUGGUCACUUCCAAGCCUGGUGUCUCCGGCCCUGUAGUCUGUAGUGCCAGACUGUGCUGGCCUGGAGAGUGCUGGGGCAGGUGGAGGCCAGGGAAUGGUCCCAUACAGUUAUCUCCCCUGCCCUGGUUACAGACAGCUUCGAGAACCAGAGGAGAAGAGCAUAGGGUCAUGGAGCAGGUGGGCUGAAGCCAGGGCCACAGGGAGCAAUCCGUGACCCCCCAAGGUGGGUGUGGGGGGGGGGGGGGGCGUGUCACCUUAGGGAACUCAAUGAGUCCGAAGAACAAUUUGAAAUGUUGGGAAAAGAGAAGAGGAAUUUGAUGUCAGCCGGGGUGAUCCCUGAGAUAGAGGCCUGUCUCUGAUGGCAUGAGCUCUAAGAGGGUCCUGGAGGAUUGGUACAUCCUAGAACAUUCCAGUUAGCCCUCUUUUAGGGGAAACUGGCAUAGGAUUGAUGCAGAAGGCAUUUUUGAUGAUGGGACCAAAAUUCAAGUCUCCUUGGUAGCAUUCUAGGAUCAACUAGAUCCUAGGAUCUGGUAGAUUGUAGGAUUCUAGUGGGUAGAGGCCAGGGGUGCUGUGAAACAUCCUGCAGUGCACAGGAUGGUCCCACAAGAGAGGAUGAUCCGGCCCAGAAUGUCAGUGCUGAGCCUGAGAAACUCAUCUAAGGCCUGGUCCACAACAGUAAUGUGACUGUUCACUCGUGACAACUUCAGAUGGUAAAUGGACUUAGGAUCGUAUUAUUUUAUUUAAAAGAAAAAUAAGGAGCUGGUUUUUCAGCCGGGUUCCUUUCCCCUAUGCACUGGAAUACCCCUGGUAGGUGUGAGCUGCAUGCAAUUGUGGGGAUUCAGCACUGAAAUCUAGGUGCUUUUGUUUUCUCCAGCAGCCUCGUCUUACAGCGUGACUGCAAAGAAAAAGACUUUUGUUUUGCAAAAGAAAAGCAGCUCGGUGACUCCGUCCACAUCGCCACAGUUGAGUCAGAUGGCAGUGGCAGUCCUUUGCCAGUGGAAGGAGUUCCUGCUAAGGGGAGGUGCAGGAGGACUAAUUUAUUAUUGUGCAACUGCCAGUCCUGCGCAUUCCAGCUACGCUAAGCGCCCUGCCCAGGCACGUAACAAAACAUAGACCUGUUUUGAAGUGGCUUGUUACCCAAGGGUGCCUCACUCAUCUGCGCCACCAGGAAGAUGAACUGUGAGGGCUCCUAUAAGGGGCAGGAAGAGCAAAGCUGUCCUAGGCCAACCAGAGAUUCAUCUUUCAUGCAGUGACAUGUUGAUAAAAAAUGAUGGAAGUACCACCAAGAACAGGGAAGGACAAGCCAGAGGCUGGAGGAAGAUACCUGCAGAACACAGACCUGACAAAGGAUCAGUAUCAAAACAUAUAAGAAUUUUGACAAAUGAAUAAAAAGAGUACAAAUAACCCAACAUAAAGUCAAAAGGCGUGAUCAGGCAUUUCACAGAAGCAAACACCUUUGGUGGAUGCCCAUGAGGAGAGGCGCAGUCACAUCAGUGCCCAGGAGAUGCAAACCCAGAUCCCAGGGGUGUGCAUCCCACCCGUUCUGCCUGUAGGAUCUGCAAACCCGGCAAAACCUAGUUCUAGAGAGACUGGAUUCACUGCAUGUCUUCAUCACUGCUGGAGGGAGCGCAGACUGCUAUCGCCUCUUAGAAAAUGACUUAGUUCUCAUGUAAUUUGGGCAUUCACACAUCCUCAUCCUAGAUCCAGCUUUUCCACUCCCGCACACGUACUGGAAAACCUGUACAGGAACAUCCACUGCAGCACUGCUCAUACCAAACACAACCUACAUGUUCUCUGCACAGAGAGGGGAGAAGAGCCGGUCAGUUCACUCAGUGGACUCUGUGCUCAAUAGUAGGUGUGAAUAAGCCGCAGCCGCCCAGACCGCAUGGGCCAACCUCAGUC